Molecule: ribosomal RNA, 696 nt
Filed under: uncultured Gilliamella sp.
Lineage: Bacteria; Pseudomonadati; Pseudomonadota; Gammaproteobacteria; Orbales; Orbaceae
Description: bacterial SSU rRNA
Rfam family: Bacterial small subunit ribosomal RNA
Source: RNAcentral
UAGAAUUCCACGUGUAGCGGUGAAAUGCGUAGAGAUGUGGAGGAAUACCGGUGGCGAAGGCGGCCUUCUGGACAGAUACUGACGCUGAGAUGCGAAAGCGUGGGGAGCAAACAGGAUUAGAUACUCUGGUAGUCCACGCUGUAAACGAUGUCGAUUUGGAGUUUGUUGCCUAGAGUGAUGGGCUCCGAAGCUAACGCGAUAAAUCGACCGCCUGGGGGGUACGGCCGCAAGGUUAAAACUCAAAUGAAUUGACGGGGGCCCGCACAAGCGGUGGAGCAUGUGGUUUAAUUCGAUGCAACGCGAAGAACCUUACCUGGUCUUGACAUCCCACAGAAUCUUGCAGAGAUGCGAGAGUGCCUUCGGGAACUGUGAGACAGGUGCUGCAUGGCUGUCGUCAGCUCGUGUUGUGAAAUGUUGGGUUAAGUCCCGCAACGAGCGCAACCCUUAUCCUUUGUUGCCAUCGGUUAGGCCGGGAACUCAAAGGAGACUGCCGUUGAUAAAGCGGAGGAAGGUGGGGACGACGUCAAGUCAUCAUGGCCCUUACGACCAGGGCUACACACGUGCUACAAUGGCGUAUACAAAGGGAGGCGACCUCGCGAGAGCAAGCGGACCUCAUAAAGUACGUCUAAGUCCGGAUUGGAGUCUGCAACUCGACUCCAUGAAGUCGGAAUCGCGAGUAAUCGUGAAUCAGAAUGU